Molecule: ribosomal RNA, 253 nt
Filed under: uncultured bacterium
Lineage: Bacteria
Description: partial 16S ribosomal RNA
Rfam family: Bacterial small subunit ribosomal RNA
Source: RNAcentral
UACGGAGGGAGCUAGCGUUGUUCGGAAAUACUGGGCGUAAAGCGCACGUAGGCGGCGCAGCAAGUCAGGGGUGAAAUCCCGGGGCUCAACCCCGGAACUGCCCUUGAAACUGCAGUGCUAGAAUUCUGGAGAGGCGAGUGGAAUUCCGAGUGUAGAGGUGAAAUUCGUAGAUAUUCGGAAGAACACCAGUGGCGAAGGCGGCAUCCUGGACCAAUUCUGACGCUGAGGAGCGAAAGCCAGGGGAGCAAACGGG